UCAAAAGCCCUUGCUGGGAAAGGAAGCCUUUCCGAAGCCAGGAUGCCAAUCAUAGCAGGAACUCCUCUCUCCAAUGCAAACUGGACCUGGGCUUCAUGUGUAUCCCUUGGUGCAAAAGACAUAGUCAAAAUGUCCCGUUUCAACAGGUAGGCACCCCAACUUGCGACCUUGACACCCACAGAAAAUUCAGAAACAGCGUAUGCUAAUGUUGAGAAGUUACUAAAUUCUUAAACCAUCAUGGUAAUUUUUAUAAAUAUCAGGGAGGAACACUCACACCACAGCCUGUGUCAAUUGCAGUUCUGAUGGUUCCACCAGUAAGAGGAAUAAGCUCAUUUAUAUCAUCUAUGUAUGCAUCAGCUCCAAGAGGGAACGAGGUGCCUCCACCAGGGAAUCUGAAGCGAUUACCCUCUAAUUGAAUCCAAUUCUGCACGGC
This 433-nucleotide long non-coding RNA is filed under the name Manihot esculenta (cassava). Its description in RNAcentral is "long non-coding RNA (MESC_LNC000008)". Lineage: Eukaryota; Viridiplantae; Streptophyta; Magnoliopsida; Malpighiales; Euphorbiaceae. The record is from RNAcentral.